CCACAACAUUUCUGGCCAUCUGGAGACAUCAGUGUUGGUCCUUCACAGAGAGCAGGUAAACCAGUGGUCAUCAUGGUGUGUGUGAGUCUGACUGUGUUGGUGGUGGGACUCAUCCUGCUACUGAUCUACAAAUGGAGGAGAGACAGGAAAUCAUCAAGGCCAGUCUCCAAUCCAGAUCCAGGAAUCACAGGGUGUUUAAGAGAGGGAACUAUCAAAACAACAACGCAAGACUCCACCUACCAAACCCU
Molecule: long non-coding RNA, 248 nt
Organism: Coregonus clupeaformis (lake whitefish)
Lineage: Eukaryota; Metazoa; Chordata; Actinopteri; Salmoniformes; Salmonidae
Exons: 3
Source: RefSeq, a predicted model, not a curated record